GAGAGGUGGCUGAGUGGUUGAAAGCGCUCCCCUGCUAAGGGAGUAUAGGAUAAUCUCCUAUCGAGGGUUCGAAUCCCUCCCUCUCC
Molecule: transfer RNA, 86 nt
Filed under: marine eukaryotic metagenome
Rfam family: tRNA
About the family: Transfer RNA (tRNA) molecules are approximately 80 nucleotides in length. Their secondary structure includes four short double-helical elements and three loops (D, anti-codon, and T loops). Further hydrogen bonds mediate the characteristic L-shaped molecular structure. tRNAs have two regions of fundamental functional importance: the anti-codon, which is responsible for specific mRNA codon recognition, and the 3' end, to which the tRNAs corresponding amino acid is attached (by aminoacyl-tRNA synthetases). tRNAs cope with the degeneracy of the genetic code in two manners: having more than one tRNA (with a specific anti-codon) for a particular amino acid; and 'wobble' base-pairing, i.e. permitting non-standard base-pairing at the 3rd anti-codon position.
Source: RNAcentral